GACGAACGCUGGCGGCGUGCUUAACACAUGCAAGUCGAACGCUGAAGCUCAGCUUUUGUUGGGUGGAUGAGUGGCGAACGGGUGAGUAACACGUGAGUAACCUGCCCCCUUCUUUGGGAUAACGCCCGGAAACGGGUGCUAAUACUGGAUAUUCACUGGUCUUCGCAUGGGGGUUGGUGGAAAGGGUUUUUCUGGUGGGGGAUGGGCUCGCGGCCUAUCAGCUUGUUGGUGGGGUGAUGGCCUACCAAGGCUUUGACGGGUAGCCGGCCUGAGAGGGUGACCGGUCACAUUGGGACUGAGAUACGGCCCAGACUACUACGGGAGGCAGCAGUGGGGAAUAUUGCACAAUGGGCGCAAGCCUGAUGCAGCGACGCCGCGUGAGGGAUGGAGGCCGUCGGGUUGUGAACCUCUUUCGCUCAUGGUCAAGCCGCAACAAUGGUUGUGGUGAGGGUAGUGGGUAAAGAAGCGCCGGCUAACUACGUG
RNAcentral lists this ribosomal RNA (483 nucleotides) under uncultured bacterium. RNAcentral describes it as "partial 16S ribosomal RNA". It matches the Rfam family "Bacterial small subunit ribosomal RNA", at positions 28 to 507 of the family's 1533-position model. The record is from RNAcentral.